CAGUUGUUCCGCCAGGAGCAGUGCUGGGUAGCUAUGAUCGGACAGGAUAACCGCUGAAGGCAUCUAAGCGGGAAGCCCCCUUCAAAACAAGAUCUCCCUGAGAACCGAGGUAGACCACCUCGUCGAUAGGCCAGAGAUGUAAGUGCAGCAAUGCACUCAGUUGACUGGUACUAAUUGUUCGAUAGGCUUGAUUUG
Molecule: ribosomal RNA, 195 nt
Filed under: Roseicyclus sp.
Lineage: Bacteria; Pseudomonadati; Pseudomonadota; Alphaproteobacteria; Rhodobacterales; Roseobacteraceae
Description: partial 23S ribosomal RNA
Rfam family: Bacterial large subunit ribosomal RNA
Source: RNAcentral